GACGAACGCUGGCGGCGUGCUUAACACAUGCAAGUCGAGCGGUAAGGCCCUUUCGGGGUACGACGAGCGGCGAACGGGUGAGUAACACGUGGGUGACCUGCCCUCAGCUCUGGGAUAAGCCUGGGAAACCGGGUCUAAUACUGGAUAUGACUCCAUGACGCAUGUUGUGGGGUGGAAAGCCUUGUGCGGCUGAGGAUGGGCCCGCGGCCUAUCAGCUUGUUGGUGGGGUGAUGGCCUACCAAGGCGACGACGGGUAGCCGGCCUGAGAGGGCGACCGGCCACACUGGGACUGAGACACGGCCCAGACUCCUACGGGAGGGCAGCAGUGGGGAAGUCUUGCGCAAUGGGCGAAAGCCUGACGCAGCGACGCCGCGUGAGGGAUGACGGCCUCGG
This 393-nucleotide ribosomal RNA is filed under the name uncultured bacterium. Its description in RNAcentral is "bacterial SSU rRNA". It matches the Rfam family "Bacterial small subunit ribosomal RNA", at positions 28 to 420 of the family's 1533-position model. The record is from RNAcentral.